CUACGGGACGCACCAGUGAGGAAUAUUGCACAAUGGGGGGAACCCUGAUGCAGCAACGCCGCGUGGAGGAUGACGCAUUUCGGUGUGUAAACUCCUUUUAUAUGUCAAGAAAAUGACGGUAGCGUAUGAAUAAGCACCGGCUAACUCCGUGCCAGCAGCCGCGGUAAUACGGAGGGUGCAAGCGUUACUCGGAAUCACUGGGCGUAAAGGACGCGUAGGCGGGUUGGAAAGUCAGGUGUGAAAUCCUACAGCUUAACUGUAGAACUGCACUUGAAACUUCUAAUCUAGAGUAUGGGAGGGGAGAUGGAAUUAGUGGUGUAGGGGUAAAAUCCGUAGAUAUCACUAGGAAUACCUAAAGCGAAGGCGAUCUCCUGGAACAUUACUGACGCUAAGGCGUGAAAGCGUGGGGAGCAAACAGGAUUAGAUACCCUCGUAGUC
RNAcentral lists this ribosomal RNA (438 nucleotides) under uncultured bacterium. RNAcentral describes it as "partial 16S ribosomal RNA". It matches the Rfam family "Bacterial small subunit ribosomal RNA", at positions 339 to 795 of the family's 1533-position model. The record is from RNAcentral.